This is a non-coding RNA of Paramuricea clavata, 354 nucleotides long. NCBI's taxonomy places the organism in Eukaryota, Metazoa, Cnidaria, Anthozoa, Malacalcyonacea, Plexauridae. The record is from the annotation of a GenBank genome assembly.
CCCAACACACCAACACCUCUAAUACCAAUUAACCCACUACUACAACCAACCCGAUAUCCACUGAUACAUACAACUACAACAACAGCUACAAGACACAACUUCUCACCGAGAACAAACACCAUAACACACCCAUUACUGUCAAAUCACAUCCAACAACAAAUUAAAAAUUUUAUCAACCGAGACACAUCCUAGACUAUCUUCAGAACAAACAAAGGACCAACAACAACCGAAAAUAACAAUAACCAAACCAAAACUACUAGCACAACUACAGAACAAACGAAACCAAAACGCGAACAGACACAAAGCAAAAAAACAACUACUCAAUAAAAUCCAAAAACAAAAGGCAGGGGAUAA